Molecule: long non-coding RNA, 1279 nt
Filed under: Apteryx rowi (Okarito brown kiwi)
Lineage: Eukaryota; Metazoa; Chordata; Aves; Apterygiformes; Apterygidae
Description: lncRNA (ENSARWG00000000159.1)
Source: RNAcentral
GGCGGACGCGGGGCGCGGACUACGCUCUCCAGGGUGCCGCGGGGCGGCGGCGCGGUGCGCAGGCGCCGGCGGGCCGGUGUUGUUUUGAGACGGCGUCACUGGAGGCUGGAGCCGGCGGCGCCCCUCGUCCGUCCCGAGCCCCGCUGGGGGCCGCGCUGAGACAGAUUGGAUCAGCUUCUGGCCCAGUGAAGACACAUCUCUGUAAGUUUCUUAAAUACAGUUUGGGAAUGCUCCAUGUUUAUGGUGUUAGGUUACUUGCUAUGUUCUUCUAGCUUUUAUCUGUAUGAAAUGUAUUUCAGCUGCAAAAAAUCCUCAAAAUCUACCUACAACCAUUUAAUGUGAUUUAUAAGAGUAUGUAAUGGUUUAAGUUAUGCAGCAUAGUUACAUUUUUAUUCUGCAGUUUCUAAUGUAUCUGAGGUGGAAGAAAAUGAGUUUUUGUAUUAUAUGAUAACAUAGGCUGUAAAGUGAAAACUUCCAAAUUUGAACACUGUCUUUAAUAUUAAAUUAUUACUUUGGUAACUGUUCUGAUGCAUAGAGAGAUUUUCUGUUUCCUGUUUGAUGUAUAGACUGGAAUAUAUUUACUGCAUGACAGUUCUUUUGCCUAAUCCAAAUUGCUGAGUUAGACAAGGUCUUUCAAGAUUGCAACAUUUUUUUUUUCAGGUAGACAAUCAGGCUGACUUAAUUCCUCCACCGAAUAUGUCCUGUGAAGCUAGAGGAGGCCUCUGAGCAAAACUUUAUUUCUGAAAACUGGAGCAAAUUUCGUGGCUCUUUAUCCCUGUUGCAGUUGUACUAGAUCCAUUAGCAUCUUCAUAAUUUGAUAGUAAAUUUGCGUGGUUUUUUUUUGUCCGUCCUGCCCAAAACUACUUUUUUUUUUUUUGAAUACCCUCCGUCUAAGAAGGCAAUGCCAACAGUAUCCAGCAUCUCUGGGCUGUUAGAAAAAAAGUCUAUCUGCUCUUAGCGGGUCUUUGUCCUUUGGUGACUGAGAAUACAAGCUGGAGAGGAUUUUGUGAGGAGGUGAAUCUGGCCAUUGAGCUAAGGUUAGUCUUUAUUCCCGUAGUAAACUGAAAUACAGUAUUUGAUCUUGGAUUUAGUUAUGACUCUGUUAUGCUUUAUUAACCUUACUUUACAGAAAUAUGCCAUUUACUCUAUUUGCUGAUUACAGUUAAUGUGAGUACUGUAUCUAGAUAUUGUGCUUUUUUUUUUUUGUUAAAGCUUCUCAGGCUGUUUUAUUCUUUUAGAGCUAAUUAUAAUUAAUAAAAGGCCUUACCUUUGAUAACCA